GUUUUCGUAGUUGAAUAACAACAGCGUUUUUUCAAGUCGCAGGUCCUGGUUAAAGUCUUGGCGAAAAUC
RNAcentral lists this transfer RNA (69 nucleotides) under Pseudanthias dispar (peach fairy basslet). RNAcentral describes it as "tRNA-Glu". It matches the Rfam family "tRNA". Rfam says of the family: Transfer RNA (tRNA) molecules are approximately 80 nucleotides in length. Their secondary structure includes four short double-helical elements and three loops (D, anti-codon, and T loops). Further hydrogen bonds mediate the characteristic L-shaped molecular structure. tRNAs have two regions of fundamental functional importance: the anti-codon, which is responsible for specific mRNA codon recognition, and the 3' end, to which the tRNAs corresponding amino acid is attached (by aminoacyl-tRNA synthetases). tRNAs cope with the degeneracy of the genetic code in two manners: having more than one tRNA (with a specific anti-codon) for a particular amino acid; and 'wobble' base-pairing, i.e. permitting non-standard base-pairing at the 3rd anti-codon position. RNAcentral also lists the same sequence under 1 other name. The record is from RNAcentral. Lineage: Eukaryota; Metazoa; Chordata; Actinopteri; Perciformes; Anthiadidae.